GUACCCCAUUGCUUAAGGAUUCUAAGGUGGUGUUCAUGCCGGCGUGGGUGAUCGUCAGCGCGGCCCGUUGGAGCAGUUCUAACUGGGGUGCA
RNAcentral lists this transfer RNA (92 nucleotides) under Nitrosococcus oceani. RNAcentral's name for it is "tRNA-Met". Lineage: Bacteria; Pseudomonadati; Pseudomonadota; Gammaproteobacteria; Chromatiales; Chromatiaceae. The record is from RNAcentral.